RNAcentral lists this ribosomal RNA (601 nucleotides) under Scheffersomyces sp. D306. Its description in RNAcentral is "eukaryotic LSU rRNA". It matches the Rfam family "Eukaryotic large subunit ribosomal RNA", at positions 48 to 667 of the family's 3401-position model. The record is from RNAcentral. Lineage: Eukaryota; Fungi; Ascomycota; Pichiomycetes; Serinales; Debaryomycetaceae.
AAGCGGAGGAAAAGAAACCAACAGGGAUUGUCUUAGUAACGGCGAGUGAAGCGACAAAAGCUCAAAUUUGAAAUCUGGCACCUUCGGUGUCCGAGUUGUAAUUUGAAGAAGGUAACUUUGGAGUUGGCUCUUGUCUAUGUUCCUUGGAACAGGACGUCACAGAGGGUGAGAAUCCCGUGCGAUGAGAUGUCCAACUCUAUGUAAAGUGCUUUCGAAGAGUCGAGUUGUUUGGGAAUGCAGCUCUAAGUGGGUGGUAAAUUCCAUCUAAAGCUAAAUAUUGGCGAGAGACCGAUAGCGAACAAGUACAGUGAUGGAAAGAUGAAAAGAACUUUGAAAAGAGAGUGAAAAAGUACGUGAAAUUGUUGAAAGGGAAGGGUUUGAGAUCAGACUUGGUAUUUUGUAUGUCUUGCUUUCGGGUGGGGCCUCUGCAGUUUACUGGGCCAGCAUCGGUUUGGACGGUAGGAUAAUGACAUUGGAAUGUGGCACUACUUCGGUGGUGUGUUAUAGACUUUGUUGAUACUACCUGUCUAGACCGAGGACUGCGUCUUUGACUAGGAUGCUGGCAUAAUGAUCCUAAACCGCCCGUCUUGAANCACGGACC